Molecule: ribosomal RNA, 252 nt
Filed under: uncultured bacterium
Lineage: Bacteria
Description: partial 16S ribosomal RNA
Rfam family: Bacterial small subunit ribosomal RNA
Source: RNAcentral
ACGGAGGGUGCAAGCGUUAAUCGGAAUUACUGGGCGUAAAGCGCACGCAGGCGGUUGAUUAAGUCAGAUGUGAAAUCCCCGAGCUUAACUUGGGAACUGCAUUUGAAACUGGUCAGCUAGAGUCUUGUAGAGGGGGGUAGAAUUCCAGGUGUAGCGGUGAAAUGCGUAGAGAUCUGGAGGAAUACCGGUGGCGAAGGCGGCCCCCUGGACAAAGACUGACGCUCAGGUGCGAAAGCGUGGGGAGCAAACAGG